This 490-nucleotide ribosomal RNA is filed under the name uncultured bacterium. Its description in RNAcentral is "partial 16S ribosomal RNA". It matches the Rfam family "Bacterial small subunit ribosomal RNA", at positions 30 to 507 of the family's 1533-position model. The record is from RNAcentral.
AUUGAACGCUGGCGGCAGGCCUAACACAUGCAAGUCGAACGGUAACAGGAAGCAGCUUGCUGCUUCGCUGACGAGUGGCGGACGGGUGAGUAAUGUCUGGGAAACUGCCUGAUGGAGGGGGAUAACUACUGGAAACGGUAGCUAAUACCGCAUAACGUCGCAAGACCAAAGAGGGGGACCUUAGGGCCUCUUGCCAUCGGAUGUGCCCAGAUGGGAUUAGCUAGUAGGUGGGGUAACGGCUCACCUAGGCGACGAUCCCUAGCUGGUCUGAGAGGAUGACCAGCCACACUGGAACUGAGACACGGUCCAGACUCCUAUGGGAGGCAGCAGUGGGGAAUAUUGCACAAUGGGCGCAAGCCUGAUGCAGCCAUGCCGUGUGUAUGAAGAAGGCCUUCGGGUUGUAAAGUACUUUCAGCGGGGAGGAAGGGAGUAAAGUUAAUACCUUUGCUCAUUGACGUUACCCGCAGAAGAAGCACCGGCUAACUCCGUG